UAGGGGAAGUAUCAGGAACACAUGGAGCAGGGCCACCCAGCCCCACUGCAGGUGAUGGAUGACAUGAGUGAUGACAAUUCAUGCUUGUUUAAAGCUCUGUGUUUUGGAGUUGUUUGUUACACAACAGUAGUUAAUCAAUACAACUCAAAGCAGAAUGAAGAGGAGCCAGUUGGAGUCCUCUCUCUGAGCAGCUAAAGCUUAGCGUUUGCAUGAAUAUCAAUGCCAGCCACACAGUUCUGCACUUCGCGGCAGACCUUGUGUUUUUGUGCAGCCUCUGCAACAGUUUUUGUGCAGCGAGCCACAGGGAGCAGGGAGUGUGUGCUGUGCGGCUCUCAGGAAGGAAAGAAGACAUCUCUGAUGUGGACCAGCUCUGGCCAGCCACAGCACACGAGGGAUGAACUCUGAUCAGUAACCAGAGCCUGCAAAUUAGGCGAAGCUGAAGCGAAGGUGUGCACAGAGAAGGUCAGGACUUGAUCCAUUGUCCACCCUUCCCCACAAGCUCUGAACCCCCAGAAGCUGAUUGAGCAAAUCUAAUGAUGUCCAAAACUGGCUGGGGCAGACGGGGUACAUCGUGAAAGUCCUGGUGAACGCCAGCAGAAGACCUAUAGCGUCUUGGAGCGAGGUCACCCAUAUAGCACCAUUAUUUUGGGGGACAGUCAACGAGUGGCAGAAUGGGAGGAUAAUCAAAUCUCACAUAAUGCUCCCCGGAGGGUAUCCAUACUGGAGGAGGCUACUGACGAUCAGAUAGACAAGAUUAUUUGUCCUGUUAAUGUCAGCCAGUCUCCUCUCCCGUCCAUGCUAUUGUUUGCUCAGAGGGCCCAAGAACAGGCCCUUGACCUCAAAUAGGCAGAAAACACAAGGGCUCUAAAGCCUGGACUUCUGGAUAGAGCCCUUGCUGAGUCCCUGACCUGGGACCAUUCCCCUGGGGGAUCUGCCAGUCACUUGGCAGCAAAUUAAUUACACUGCAGCCCUUACAUCAUGGGGAGAGUAACAUUUCUUUUCCCCGCAGCAAUAGAUACAUAUUCCAGAUACAGACUUUCCUUCCCUUCCUGCAACAUUCUGCCAGCUCGGCCAUUCAGGGAUUCAGUCUUCUCCCUUGAUAUCCGUCACGUCGCCUCUGCCAGCAGAGGAAGUGAGGCAACGAGAAUUCAUCCUCAAGAGACUGAGAUAUUUGUUCCUUUGCAUGGAUCAGUCCACAUUACAACCCCAUGAUGUUGGCAUCAUAAUCACCCACUUUUUGUGGCUAUGGAAACUGAGACUUAGGGAGUUUAAGAAACUUGUCCUAACUGGUCAGCUAGCUUAUGGCAUGACUGGGACUAAAAUCCAGGCUUUCUGGCCAAAAAAAAAAAAAAAAAAAAAAAAAAAAAAAAAAAAAAUCUGUGUGAAACAAUAAUAUCACUGUACUUCUUUGGAGAAAUGGCUGAUUCCAAGGUUGGAGGAGGGAAAACACAAGAUGAACGAGAAACAUCUUAGAGUGCCCCAAAGAAAGGAAGUACCCUUACCCCUGCCCCUCCAAAAAAAGAAAAGAGGCGUGAAGGAAGGCAGGAAGGUAGAAGGGACAGAGGAGGAAGGGAGGGAAGAAAGGAGGAGAGAAGAAAGUAGGUGGGAGGAAAGAUGACAAGUGGGGCUUAUUGUCAAAAGGAUACAGAAAUCAAUCUAAAAUCACUCAGUGGUCAAAACUGGAACAAUUUGAGAAGCAAAAUAAAUAACAAUAAUAUCAGAUUGUAACCCAAAGAAUAAAGCAAGUAUCCAUGACUCUAUACUAAUAGAAAUAGUUGAUUGAAUAAAUACAUUCAUGAAGGAAAAGGGAUAAAGCUUUCUUACAGAAGAAUUCCAAAUAAUGUAUGUAAAUUCUCCUUCACGCAAGAGGUAGGACUUCAUUUCUCUCCCCUUGAGUUCAUGCUGGAGUUAAAAACUAGCUAUAGAAAGAGGAGAAGAGUACUUUGACAGUGGGGAAAUCUGGCAGAUACUCCCCUAGCCAAGAUCACCAGUCCUAAGUCACGCUGACAUCACGUGUCCCCUGGCAUGGUACCAUGAGAGGGUACUUCAUGGCGGUAUUUUUCCCCCAAACUCUUAACCCUACUUUUAAUCAUGAGAAAAUAUCAGACAAGGCCAAAUGGAGGGCCAUGCUACAAAAUAUCUGACCGUCUCUCUUCAAAACUGCCAAGGUCAUGGGAAACAAGGGAAGACUGAGAAACAGAUUGGAGGAGAAUAAGAAGACAUAACAAAUAAAUGCAAUGUGCUGUCCUGGACUGGAUCCUGGGACAGAAACAGGAUACUAGUUAAAAAAAAAACAACUAGCAAAAUAAAACCUGUAGUUUAAAGUAUUGUACCAAUGUGGAUUUCUUAGUUUUGGCAAAUAUAACACAGAUAUCGUGUUAACAUUAGGAAAAGCUGGGUGAAAGGCAGAUGGAAAUUCUCUGUCCUAAGUUUGUACCAUUUUUUUUUCUUUUUGUAAACCUAAAAUUAUUGCAAAGGGAAAAGUUUUUGAAAAAUUUACAAAAACACAGAAAACAGAUCACUGUACUAGCUCACCUCUGAGUCAGAGUCUUUGAUAGAACUUCUCUGGGUACUUUCCACUUGCGAACAUUUAGUCACGGGCCAAGGAAAAUUUGCGUCUCUUUCCAAUGAAUAGAGAAAAUCAAGAAAGGAUAAAAGGAGAAACAGACGAGCUGAUUAAUUCUCCAGUUUAUGAAGAUUAUUCCAAAGAGACUGCACUCUUAACAACAGUGCAUGAUUUAAUAAAUGCAGCGACCCUACUUCCAGCUUCCAAUUCAGUGGUUGAAUUUUUCUCUGAGUAUUCAUAAAAACCAUGCAUCCUGCAUCUUUUGCUAAAAUCUCUAACUUCACCAACAAAAUUGUGUACCAGCCUUGAUGCAGAACCACUGGGAUAAACCACUGGAGACAAUCAGAAGCUUCAUUAUGCAUUUGCUUGAAAAACUGGCCCCUUUGAUGAAUAUAUUUGAUGUAUUUCUCCAGACUAUCUCCACUGCAACAUCAUGCUGUUGAAUCAAUACAGACAGUAAAUGGCCUCUACAAACAAAGGAAAUGAAGUAUAAUUACCAAGAAGCAAAAUCAAGGGCCUGCCUUCUCCAUCGCAGCUGGAUUUCCUCUGGUCACCAGUUGCAGUAGGACUCAUGUCUCUUCAAUGCAGUUGGCAUUAAUAACAGCACAUUUAUUGAACACAUACCUCCGAGAUUCAUAAAAAUAACCACCGCCAUGUGCCAGGACUGUACAAUCGUUAUUUUAUGACCAACCCUACAUAACAAGCAUUGUUAUCUCCGCCAUUGGAGAUGAAGAGAUUGCAAGUAUGAAGCAUUAAGCUGUAUUAUUAGCUGGGCAUCAAAUCUUGAUUUCCCUGGCUUCAAACAUCAGCAUUUCCCCAGACUCAGCGCUGUUUAUUCACAGAGAGCCUAUCAUUGCUAACGAAGACCACACAGCGCAGACUCUCGGCAAAAUAAAUGAGAAAAAAAAAUUACUUAAACAAAUAAGUCAUUUGACUUUUUAAAAAAGGUCACUGUUUAAAUAAAUCCUUUUUCCAAAAAAAAAGAAAGAUCAGUUAAACAACAUUUGAUUAUCGGUUAACUCAAAUCAUUAUUUUUCCCUUCAAAAAAUUAUGCGUUAAGUUCCAUGUAAACAUUGGAAGAAAGUGAGAGUUCUCAACGGUGGAAACACCUGUUCAAGGUAUAGCACAGGGGUAUCUCUCUCUCUCUCUCUGUUUUUUUUCCAUGGGGGCUUUCCAUUGUGGACCGGAAAAUGUGCUAGACGAAUUCUAAAAGAGCCGUAACACUCAGAAAUCUCUUUUUAAUUUUUUCUCCCCUCAAGUCACAAGAAACUGUUUUUUCUGUUCAAAAACAGGGGGAAAAAUGUAUGUAUGUAAUAUGAGAACACAGUCCCUUAAGCAGAAGCACAAACAGCAGGUUCAGUGCAAACCAACAGUAGCCUCUCCCAAAAGAAACAUUAAACACACAAAGAUAUAAGAAGAGGCUUGGUAAACAGAUGCCAGCAGGGCAGAAAGCAUCGUCAUGGCCCCGCCAAACACACUCCAGAAAUGAGAGCGAAUCUCAGACGUGGGAGGGGAACUGGAAUAGGGAACCUCAGCUCCAUUUAAAUGUGUAUAUAAAUAUUUUGGACUUACAGAUGAUACACAAUAUAAAAAGGCAUAUGUAUGUACGAUGCUUUGCAUUUUGGACUUGUAUAUUCUCAUCUUUCCAUAUAUACAUAUAUAUAAUAUGAUUCUAUAAAGAGAUGUAAAAUAUUAAAGUAUAUUUAUAUACAAAUAUAAAAUUAUAUAUAUAAUACACAAAUCCAAAAAGGUAAAAUAAGGCAUAUUGUUUUCAAUAAUUUUUAUUUUAAAAUGAAUCAAUAGUCUCACUUUUCUUUUUUGACUGGGAGUUCAGGGGUGGUUAAUCAGAUGUGGGGGCAUCCCCUGAUUGGAUAAGAAAAUCUCUUUAGAACAAUGGUGUAUAAUUGGGGUGGAGGGUGUCCGACUCCUUUGAAAAUGUGAUGAAAAUGACAGAAUUUCUUCCAUGAAGGAGGGGUGGGUACAGCUCAAGUGGUAGAGUGCAUGCUUAGCACGCACCAGGUCCUAGGUUCAAUGUCCAGUAGCUCUCCAAUAAAUAAAUAAAUGAACAAACCUAAUUACCCCUCCUAAAACAAUUAAAAAAUAAAGACUUUCUUCUGUGAAAAUGAA
Camelus dromedarius (Arabian camel) is the source of this 4693-nucleotide long non-coding RNA. RefSeq lists it as uncharacterized. The transcript is spliced from 2 exons. The record is from RefSeq and is a predicted model, not a curated record. Lineage: Eukaryota; Metazoa; Chordata; Mammalia; Artiodactyla; Camelidae.